UUUUGACGCGGAGUGUAUGCAAGCUCACAAGUCGGCACAUAAACUCAUGUCUUAUCAGAGUCUAUAUAAACUCGUAUGGAAUUGAGUACUUGGUAUCAGUGUGCCGUAAAAUAUCGUACAAGGUGCAGCAAGAAAAUAGUAUUUUCUUCAGGUAAAAGUACAUAUUUCCGCCAAGACCGGAUAUGAUUUCCCGAACGAGAAUCCUCGUCGUGUUCUUACUGGCGCUGCUAAUUCUGCAAUGUUCGAUUGGGAUGUCCGAGUCGGCCAAGUGGUGGGACAAGGUUAAGGAUGUGUGUGGCUAUGUGGGACCUAAAUUAUCCACCAUUGGCACAGUGAUGGACUUAAUUGCUGUGCUAGGAUGAACUUUAUUCCGAAUUAAAUUACGCAAACUAUGUACAUAUCUAUAUAUUUCUGAAUGUCAAAAAUGCAAAAUAAAUAAACCGUAGAAACGGAACUAAGC
Molecule: long non-coding RNA, 460 nt
Organism: Folsomia candida
Lineage: Eukaryota; Metazoa; Arthropoda; Collembola; Entomobryomorpha; Isotomidae
Exons: 2
Source: RefSeq, a predicted model, not a curated record